GUAGGGUGCGAGCGUUAAUCGGAAUUACUGGGCGUAAAGUGUGCGCAGGCGGCCCCGCAAGUCGAGUGUGAAAUCCCCGAGCUUAACUUGGGAAUGGCGCUCGAAACUACGGGGCUCGAGUGUGGCAGAGGGAGGUGGAAUUCCACGUGUAGCGGUGAAAUGCGUAGAGAUGUGGAGGAACACCAAUGGCGAAGGCAGCCUCCUGGGUCAACACUGACGCUCAUGCACGAAAGCGUGGGGAGCAAACAGGAUUAGAUACCCUGGUAGUCCACGCCCUAAACGAUGAUGACUAGUUGUGGGAGGAGNUUAANNCCUUUAGUAACGCAGCUAACGCGAGAAGUCAUCCGCCUGGGGAGUACGGUCGCAAGAUUA
Molecule: ribosomal RNA, 372 nt
Filed under: uncultured bacterium
Lineage: Bacteria
Description: bacterial SSU rRNA
Rfam family: Bacterial small subunit ribosomal RNA
Source: RNAcentral